AUUUUCAAUUCUAUAAUUAUUAAAUUAGUAAUGCCUGAUUUAAAUUAGAAAAGUUAUUUCCAUCAUCUCGAAUAAUAUUUAUUGAGAAAAUAUUAUUGCCAUUUUCAUUUUAAACAGUUUAAUUAUUUCCAGUUUUCGUUCUUUCUAAAUAUUUUAUUUCGUAGCAAAAUUAUUUAUCAAGCCAUUAAUUUUUUGUAAUUUUAAAACGUUCAACUUUGUCAAUUUCAAUGAGAGUGUCUUUUUCGUUAUCAGCUAAUACUGACCUUCAAUUAAUUUCUUUUACCUUUAUAAAUACCAUGCUGGUGCCUUUCCGGCUCAUUUUUAUAUUCUUCGCCAAGUAGGCAGCAGCGAGCGCUACAGACCUAAUUGGCACCCAGGAGAAGGGCGUGGCCCUAGCUUUUACACCAUCUGUUUUGGCCCAGAGGAUAUAAUGCCCCCAGAAAGUAAAUCAAGUAAAUGGUAAAUAGCAGCUCCUCAAGACCCAUGGGUUCGACGAACAUUUAGACAACUCCGGAGGCAACAACCGAUCCACCAGUACAUCAGACCAGUACAUCAAAACCUGACGCCUCCCGAAGAAGAUCAUGAGGUGUGGAUAACCUAGGACAGCACCGGAAGAAGCCUUCACACCACAAGUUAAGUCUUCCUUAGAAUCUUAUAUUUUCCUGUCAGCAGAGACAGAUUUUUUAUAUAAAUUAACUUCAUAAUAACUUCACAAUGAUGUAGAUCCUAAAUUAUAACCAAAGAAAUGAGAAAAUAAAGCAUUUAUACCGAAA
Diabrotica virgifera virgifera (western corn rootworm) is the source of this 773-nucleotide long non-coding RNA. RefSeq lists it as uncharacterized. Lineage: Eukaryota; Metazoa; Arthropoda; Insecta; Coleoptera; Chrysomelidae. The transcript has 2 exons. The record is from RefSeq and is a predicted model, not a curated record.